AAGCCAGACUCCUACGGGAGGCAGCAGUGGGGAAUAUUGCACAAUGGGGGAAACCCUGAUGCAGCGACGCCGCGUGAGUGAAGAAGUAUUUCGGUAUGUAAAGCUCUAUCAGCAGGGAAGAAAAUGACGGUACCUGACUAAGAAGCCCCGGCUAACUACGUGCCAGCAGCCGCGGUAAUACGUAGGGGGCAAGCGUUAUCCGGAUUUACUGGGUGUAAAGGGAGCGUAGACGGCAUGGCAAGUCAGAUGUGAAAGCCCGGGGCUCAACCCCGGGACUGCAUUUGAAACUGUCAGGCUGGAGUGCAGGAGAGGUAAGUGGAAUUCCUAGUGUAGCGGUGAAAUGCGUAGAUAUUAGGAGGAACACCAGUGGCGAAGGCGGCUUACUGGACUGUAACUGACGUUGAGGCUCGAAAGCGUGGGGAGCAAACAGGAUUAGAUACCCCUGUAC
RNAcentral lists this ribosomal RNA (448 nucleotides) under uncultured bacterium. RNAcentral describes it as "bacterial SSU rRNA". It matches the Rfam family "Bacterial small subunit ribosomal RNA", at positions 328 to 793 of the family's 1533-position model. The record is from RNAcentral.